AUGUUCAUGGGCGUACCGGAAGGAAAAAAUUAGGGGGGCGGAAAGAAAAUUGCCCGACUUUUCGUAAAAUUGCCCGACUUUUCGUGAUUUUGCCCGACUAGUACCAAAAAAUUUUUCCCGGAAAAUUUUUUUUGGCGACCCCCCCCCCCCCCGUCGCCAAAAAAAUUUCGGUCAGUGUACCAUUUUAGGGGUCAAAAAAAUUUUCCGGACGUACCAAAUUUUUGACAGAAUCACAUUAAUUU
Molecule: non-coding RNA, 242 nt
Organism: Paramuricea clavata
Lineage: Eukaryota; Metazoa; Cnidaria; Anthozoa; Malacalcyonacea; Plexauridae
Source: the annotation of a GenBank genome assembly